RNAcentral lists this ribosomal RNA (1476 nucleotides) under Euwallacea interjectus. RNAcentral's name for it is "16S ribosomal RNA". The stretch from base 858 to 1214 matches the Rfam family "Bacterial large subunit ribosomal RNA", at positions 2076 to 2644 of the family's 2925-position model. Lineage: Eukaryota; Metazoa; Arthropoda; Insecta; Coleoptera; Curculionidae. The record is from RNAcentral.
GGCAUGAAUUAUCUAUAAGCAGUUAAUGGAUUUAUAAAUAAAUAAAGUAUUAUAAGGCUUUAGUAGGAUUACUGAAAAAAUUUUUUUAGAUAUAGUUUAAUAGUAUUGUAAAAGAAAAUUUAGCUUUAUUAAUAAGAAAAAUUAAAAUUUUGUACCUUGUGUCUCAGGGUUUGUCAAAAAAUAGGUAAGUUUUUACUUUUCUCGAAUUUGAAAGGGCUAUUUAACUAUAGAUUUUAUUGUGGCAAAAAUAUUUUUAAUUGUUAAAUAGUGAUGAAACGUUAAUCGAUUUUAAUUAUAUCUAGUUCUUUAAGAAAAAAAUUUAAUUUUUUCUGGUUUUAGUAUUUUUUUACAUUUUUAGGAAAAUAAUAGGCUGAAAUAAUGACUUAGGGGUUGAGCUUUAAGUUAAAUUUAUACAAUAAGAUUUUAUUAUUAGUAGUUAAUUAGAAAGAUUUGAAGUUUCUACUUAAGUGAUUUAUCUCUUGAUUAAUAGAUUUUAAGAUUUUUUACAAUUAUUUAUAUUUUUUAUUGAAGUUUAGGCUUAAAUUUAUUUAGUUUAGUAAAAAUGAUAAAAUUAGUAUAUAUUUUUUUAUAUAUUAGGGUAAUUUGAAGGUUAAGUUAAGGAAUUCGGCAAAUUUAUUUCUCACCUGUUUAAUAAAAACAUGUCUUUUUGAGUAUAAUUUAAAGUCUGGCCUGCCCAAUGAUUUAUUUAAUGGCCGCGGUAAACUGACCGUGCAAAGGUAGCAUAAUCACUAGUUUUUUAAUUGAAAGCUUGAAUGAAAGGUUUGAUGAAGAAAUAACUGUCUCAACUUAAAUUUUUUAGAAUUUUAUUAUUUUGUAAAAAGGCUAAAAUUGUUAUGAAAGACGAGAAGACCCUAUAGAGUUUUAUAAUUUAAACAGAGAGGGUAAUUAGUAUAAAUUUCUUUAUUUGUUUAAAUUAUUUGGUUGGGGUGAUUGAAAUAAUUUAAUAAACUUUUUUUGCUGGAAAACAUAGAUUUAUGAAUAGUUGAUCCUUUUAAAAGAUUAUAAGAAAAAAUUACCUUAGGGAUAACAGCGUUAUUUUUCUUGAGAGUUCUCAUCGAAAGAAGAGUUUGCGACCUCGAUGUUGGAUUAAAAUUUAGGCUUGGUGUAGAGGCUAAGCUUUUAGGUCUGUUCGACCUUUAAAAUUUUACAUGAUCUGAGUUUAGACCGGCGUGAGCCAGGUUGGUUUCUAUCUUUAUAUAAAUAAUAAUUUUUAGUACGAAAGGACCAAAAUUAUACUAAAUUAGUUUGUAUUUGAAUAUUAGUAUUUCUUUAACUUGCAAGUAGGAAACUUAAAAUUUUUUUGUAGUUUUUGACUAAGGAAUAUUGAUAAUGAAAUAUUUAGUUGAUAUUGUAAUUAAUUUAUCUUGAUUAAUUUGUGAGCUAGUAUUUUAUUAGAUUUUGGUUAUAAUUUUUUUUAGUACGAAAUGCAGAGAAGCUUUAACUUUAUUGGAUCGG